UGCGCAGUGGCAGUAUCGUAGCCAAUGAGGUUUAUCCGAGGCGCGAUUAUUGCUAAUUGAAAGUCAACAUUAGGGCUGGAGAGAUAGG
Molecule: small nuclear RNA, 88 nt
Filed under: Rattus norvegicus (Norway rat)
Lineage: Eukaryota; Metazoa; Chordata; Mammalia; Rodentia; Muridae
Rfam family: U4 spliceosomal RNA
About the family: U4 small nuclear RNA (U4 snRNA) is a component of the major U2-dependent spliceosome. The structure of U4 snRNA from yeast and human has been reported.
Source: RNAcentral